This 314-nucleotide non-coding RNA is filed under the name Coprococcus eutactus. RNAcentral's name for it is "T-box sequence". It matches the Rfam family "T-box leader". From Rfam's summary of the family: Uncharged tRNA acts as the effector for transcription antitermination of genes in the T-box leader family. The record is from RNAcentral. Lineage: Bacteria; Bacillati; Bacillota; Clostridia; Lachnospirales; Lachnospiraceae.
GAAAAUGCAAUGAAGAGGAGUAGUAGAAUCCUGGAGAUGUUCAGAGAACUGCCGGUUGGUGUGAGACAGUGAUUGAGAGGAUUUGAACUCGCCUUGGAGCAGCCCGCUAAAAGAUACGACGUUACACAGUAGCGUUGAGCGUAUCGAGUAGGAUGGGACGGAGGCUGGCCGUUAUAGCAGAAGGAUAUAAGAUAUGUAAAAGAUAUGUAUUUGAGUUGUAUAAGAUCUGCAUGUCUGUAUCUGUAACGAGAGCAUAUUUUGUAAUUAUUAUGAAGUAUGAAAUAGAGUGGUACCGCGUAACUUACGUCUCUAUA